Small RNA from Flavobacterium micromati, 80 nucleotides. It matches the Rfam family "Flavo-1 RNA". NCBI's taxonomy places the organism in Bacteria, Pseudomonadati, Bacteroidota, Flavobacteriia, Flavobacteriales, Flavobacteriaceae. The record is from Rfam.
GAUUUGCGUGAGGGAUUGAGGCGAUAUCCUUUUUAGGGCGUUUUAGCCCAAAAAAGAUAAAGCCGAAAGCCCGGUCGCUU